RNAcentral lists this ribosomal RNA (494 nucleotides) under uncultured bacterium. RNAcentral describes it as "partial 16S ribosomal RNA". It matches the Rfam family "Bacterial small subunit ribosomal RNA", at positions 28 to 507 of the family's 1533-position model. The record is from RNAcentral.
GACGAACGCUGGCGGCGUGCUUAACACAUGCAAGUCGAACGGUAACGCGCCUUCCUUUUUGUUGGGUGUGGGUGAGUUGCGAACGGGUGAGUAACACGUGCGUAACCUGCCCCCUUCUUCUGGAUAACCUCAUGAAAGUGUGGCUAAUACGGGAUAUUCUGUGUCUGUCGCAUGAUGGGUCUUGGAAAGCUAUUGUUUCGGUGUGGGCUGGGAUCGCGGCCUAUCAUCUUGUUGGUGGGGUGAUGGCCUACCAAGGCGGUGACGAGUAGCCGGCCUGAGAGGGUGGACGGCAACAGUGGGACGGAGAGACGGAGAAGACUACUACGGGAGGCAGCAGGGGAGAAUAGAGAACAAUGGGAGGAAGCAUGAUGCAGCGACGCGGCGGGAGGGAAGGAGGCCGUGGGGUUGUGAACCUCUGUCGGGAGUGAAGAGGGGCUGCCUCGUUUGUGGGUGGGUUGACGGUAGCUGGAGAAGAAGCGCCGGCUAACUACGUG